RNAcentral lists this ribosomal RNA (166 nucleotides) under Carlowrightia linearifolia. RNAcentral describes it as "partial 5.8S ribosomal RNA". Lineage: Eukaryota; Viridiplantae; Streptophyta; Magnoliopsida; Lamiales; Acanthaceae. The record is from RNAcentral.
ACCAUCNAGUCUUUGAACGCAAGUUGCGCCCGAAGCCCUCGGGCCGAGGGCACGCCUGCCUGGGCGUCACGCAUCGCGUCGCCCCCCCCANCCCCGCCCGUUCCGGGGGGNGCGCGAGGGGGNGCGGAGAAUGGCCUCCCGUGCGCACCCGNCGCGCGGCCGGCCC